CUUUCCAAUUAAUUUAUUUAAAUUCAUUAACGUUGCAAAACUAUGUGCAAUAAAAAGACAUGUUACUGUAUUCCUAAAAGGACAAAGGAAAAGAAAAUAUUACAUCUCCUACAUUGUAAAUCACGACCAACAUUAGUAUUUUUUACAGAGACCUCAUCAACAUGUUGCAUACAGACAUCAAAAUUUAAUUUCUCACACUGAAAUGACAGUACUAGUUGACAUCAUUCUAAUAUCGUAAAAAGCUCACAGUAAAUUUUUUCAAAUGAUAGCAUGUGAACUUGUGGUAAUGAACAUUUCUGAAACAUAUAUCAAAGUGCAUGAUACUUUAAACUGUUUUAUGUGAACUGUGUCCUCAGGGCUGUGGAAGUGCAUGGCCCUGAAUACCACCAACAUUUGCUAGGUAGGUUUGUGUAGUAAACUAUUAAGCAACGGUUAAAAAGGAACAGUAAAGUAGCUGAUAGUAUUAUCCAAGUUCCCUUGUCAAACAAUGUGAAAAAUGCCUGAAAACUUCAAAUGCAAACAUAACCUUUUGCAGAGUGUAAGAUGUCAAGAUAAAACCCGACAGUUAUCUGAAGCAAGCAUUUUAAUAUCAUUCUUUACUAACUUGAAAGCAAACUUGCUUUUCAUCUGGUGCUUGAAUUGUGAAAUGCUGUAUGUGUGUCACAGCAUUUUUAGUUUGCAAAACACAGUAUGUAAAGCUGUUAUAUACAGUUGCAAAAAAGUGUUCUGUUCAAAUUUUAGUGUUGACUUACUGUUCCACAUAUUACUUUAUUUUCACUUGCCAUUUAGAACUUUAAAGGAAAUAAAUUAUUGGGCCCCUUUGCUGAUGAUCCUAAAUUCACACAGCAUCUCAGGAACGGGAGCUCAGAACACUGGGCAGGUAAAACCCCACUUCCCUCCACACCUUGCCUCCACACCUCAGCUGUUUGUGAUCCCUGACUCUUUCUCCUAGCAAUUCAAGCUACACAGAUUCUAUUCCCUGUGCCAAGACAAACUCUUCAAUAGCAAAACAAGCCUAACUUACAUUACUUGCUUUUUCUUACUCCAUCCCUCUGGAAUUUGUGAUCCAUUUCUCAAAUAUCCAUAGAAAAUGGGGAAAAACAGGCAUGAAAACAAAAACAGAACGCAGUCAUCUCUGUUGUCAGCCCAUUUCUACCUCAGCAAAGUAAAGUUUUCUACUUAUAACAUGGGAAAAAGAAGGCUAAAGCUAUGGCCAUCUUAUAUUCAGUCUUAAACUCAUCAAGAAACUGGCCUCUUCUACCCAGUAUACUCUGAUGCUAAUGUUAUGUCAACUGAAGAAAUCUAAAAAGCCACUUCUCCAUUAAAUCACUUUUCUGAAUUCUCUGAGCACUCACAUAGCCAAAUGUUAAUGCUAUGGUCAUCUUAAGGAGCCUACCAAGAAGCAGACCCUUUACUCUUAAAACUUUGGAACUGGAUGUGAAGAAACUCUAGCAAUGGCUGUACUGGUCAAUCAGCAGAUUUCAGUACUGUAAUCAGUGCAGCUACUAAGUAGUGAUGUCCAUUAUGAGCCACCCCCUUCCCUGCUUGCCAUUCUGGGGCUUGAACCCCCAGGUCCUGGCACAUACAUUCUAGACAAGUGCAUUAUCAUUGAGCUACAUGGCCAGCCCGUGAUUCUAUUAUGGAAGAUAAGUGUUUACCAACUGAGAAAUAGGAAAUAACACAGUCCUAAACAUUAAUUUGAGCACUAUAAUUUUAACUCAGUAUGUUCAAACUUGCUUUUGUACCAAGAGAUCCAGAAAGCCGAGAAACACAAAUUUUCAUCAUAGGUAUCAUCAGUCUUUUCAUCUUUAAUCCAUGGUUUAUUUGCCUAUUGUGUGCAGCCUACAGGUGGAUGCAAGAAAUGGUGCCACUAGCUGCCCAUGAACCACUUUCCUUAGUUAGUGGCAUCUUAGAUAAGGUGUUAUCCCUUAUAAAAGUUUUCUUUCUCUUUUCAGCUACUACUUAGAAUCCUCUUUCUUCACAUCUUCUCCACCCCUUUUGAAUUAAUGACUACUAAGCUUAAAGGUGGGCUCAAUAUCAUGUAUUUCCUUGGUGCCUGUUUAGGAAUAUGAUUCAGUAGAACACAGAAUCAAAUUAUUUCAUACCUCAUAAGAGAAAUUUCUGACUAAAAAGGGGCACUCACAGCUGGUGACAGAAAGAGCAAAUUAAAUCAUUUAACUUAGAUCUAAGAUUCCAGCAAAAAGAUAAUAGAAUUAUUUGUACUUUUACCUCAAUCAGUAAUGGAAAUUAGAAUAAGGGAAAAUGUUACAUAGUUACAAAUUACAACUAAACUUAAAUCCUUUCUUGUAAUCUACUAAUUAUCAUCUUAAGUCUUCUAGGUAUGAAACAUUUAUUGUGGGCAUAUCCCUAUACCAGAUCCCAUUAAGGUAUAGAUUAAAAUAGGUAUCCUUUUGAAGUAGUGAUUCACAGCCUGUCCCUUUCACUAUAACUCAAGUGUUACCAUUGUUCCCUCUGAAUUUUAAUGUUUUGACAGAAUAUAGGCUAUUUUUUUUUUAAAUUUAGAAAAACAUCACUUUCCAACAAAUUCUAUCUAGGUUAGGAAAAAUGACUGUAAGUUAAAAAAUAUAACACAGAGCUUAAAUUACUCUUUACACUUUUC
This is a long non-coding RNA of Heterocephalus glaber (naked mole-rat), 2620 nucleotides long. Lineage: Eukaryota; Metazoa; Chordata; Mammalia; Rodentia; Bathyergidae. The record is from Ensembl.